Molecule: microRNA, 21 nt
Filed under: Ananas comosus (pineapple)
Lineage: Eukaryota; Viridiplantae; Streptophyta; Magnoliopsida; Poales; Bromeliaceae
Description: microRNA s1691_c111b
Source: RNAcentral
GUAUCCUAUUGAAAGGUUUUU